This is a non-coding RNA of Camelina sativa (false flax), 515 nucleotides long. The record is from RefSeq and is a predicted model, not a curated record. NCBI's taxonomy places the organism in Eukaryota, Viridiplantae, Streptophyta, Magnoliopsida, Brassicales, Brassicaceae.
AAGUUUUUUUUUCCCUUGGUGAAUGUUUCUUAUAAAUUUUCGAGGAUCUAGAUGAGGUAAUGGAUAGGUAUGCUGACCCUUUGGUAACUCAUCUUAUGACAAUGAUCAACUACCGUAAAUUUCGGACUGGGACAAAGUCGGAAAUAGAUGAUCUUCUUCGGGUUGAGAAGGGUGAAACCCCAAAAUGGUAGUUUACGGUUUUUGUGUAUCGCAUGAACAUCCAGGGAGCUUUUUAUUGUCUUACAUACGGUCUGCAAAUCCGCACCAUGAGUACAUUGGUUUAUAUCCAAAGGGAUUCAAGUUCAGGAAAAGAAUGUUUGGGAAUCUUGAUAAGCUUGCUGCUGCUUAUUUUAAGAGACAUAUUGAUGAUCCAGUCCAUUACUAUCAAUGAACUUGAAGAUUGAUUUUAAGGUAUGGCUUUGUUGAUGUCCCGUUCGAAGCACAAAAACUACUACUUUCUGCUAUUUUAAACCGUUAUAUCAGUGAUUUUAUGUUGACAAUUCAUAUUACGCUAA